UACGUAGGUGACGAGCGUUGUCCGGAUUUACUGGGCGUAAAGAGCGCGCAGGCGGUCGUUCAAGUCGAGUGUGAAAGCCCCCGGCUCAACUGGGGAGGGUCACUCGAUACUGAUCGACUUGAAGGCAGGAGAGGGUAGUGGAAUUCCCGGUGUAGUGGUGAAAUGCGUAGAUAUCGGGAGGAACACCAGUGGCGAAGGCGACUACCUGGCCUGUUCUUGACGCUGAGGCGCGAAAGCUAGGGGAGCAAACGGG
RNAcentral lists this ribosomal RNA (253 nucleotides) under uncultured bacterium. RNAcentral's name for it is "partial 16S ribosomal RNA". It matches the Rfam family "Bacterial small subunit ribosomal RNA", at positions 524 to 776 of the family's 1533-position model. The record is from RNAcentral.